Long non-coding RNA from Phragmites australis (common reed), 4766 nucleotides. RefSeq lists it as uncharacterized. The record is from RefSeq and is a predicted model, not a curated record. The transcript has 5 exons. Lineage: Eukaryota; Viridiplantae; Streptophyta; Magnoliopsida; Poales; Poaceae.
UAGGGUACUGUCGCCUAUUUAACAGGCGAGAACAAGAUCUCACGCAUUAAACAAGUAAGAGCUUAUGGGUCUCGGUAUUCAGUGUAUUAAAUAACUAAAGAGAGGAAAUUUUCGCUCGUUCAGGGAGCGAAAACUUGGUUUUGGCUGUUGAACAGGUGAGACCUUCGUAGUUGUGGCACUGAGUAGACCCACUAAAAGGUUUUGCCCGUUGAAUAUGCGAGAUCUUUUGGGUAUUUAAUCCGGUCGUGUCGGCCCUAUCAACGUCAGUCUCAUUUUAUUCCAACACACCCAAGAGGAGAGGAGGAAAGUGGAGGUGGGAAAUUGCGUGAUGAAGCUAUAUCGGAGGAAAAAAAAGUAUGUUUUUUUCUCUAAUUUAUUUAUAAACCUGAUUUGAUAUCCAUAGUGUUAGAUUUUGAUAUGGGUUAGAUGCUAGAUUUAGAAUUAUUUUACAAACCUGGUAGGAUAGUCACUAGAAGUAAAUUAGAAUGUAGAUCUAGUUUUAAAAUUAUGGUUAGAUAUAGUUUAGUGAUUAGAUCUUUUUUAUACGUAUUUUUUAGCAAUUAGAUCUAGUAUUUAGAUCUAUGUUAGGUAUUAGAUGUAGGAUUUAGAUAUAAGCAGAUGUAGGAUUCAGAGGUGUUUGAUAUAGUGACUUAGGGAUAUUUGUUGCGGUAUAGAUUACUUGUUGGGCUAUGUUUGUAAUUAAUUUUUUAUUAUGGAUGUAGUUUUACAUAAUUAUUUCUAUUUUAUCUCAAUAAUGUUAGUUUUUUUGUUGAUGGUUGCCAAAUAUGUUGGAUAUAUGGCAGUUUAUGAUUUUUAUGAGGAUAUUGAAAUAUUAUAUGGUUCAGAAGGGAUAGUACUGUUCGUAUUUCACUCAAUGGAUAAGGGGAUUCUGAGACCUAUGCACAUAAGUGUCGAAUACUUGUAUAUAUGGUUGAUGUGGGGUUUCCAAAUAGACCUCGAGGUUAAAGAGAUGACUAUUAGCAUUGUGAGCAACCGAGUGAGAAAUAGUGUGUACUGGGAGGUGUACCCGCUCUGAGAAGAUUCAGUGUGGAAGAGAUAAUUGCAGGAUAUUGUGCAUAGAGGCUGAUCUCCUAUGUUGCUUGUGUAAUGAAAAAAUAAGGAGGCAAUGGUGGGAGAUGCAGGGUGGGGUUACGCGGAGGAGGCGGGUGAUGAGGAAGGGUAUGAUGAUGAUGUCGAUCCGGAUGGUGUACAUCUAUCAGAGUAUCUAACGGAACCGACCGGUGAGGUAGAUGAGGGGAAACAAAUCCCUUCCCUAAUUGAACAGAUAGAGUGAGAUGAUCUUCAAGGUGACGAAUCCCCUGAGUAUGACAUCUCGGAUGAUGAGGGCGAUGCUUGUGUUCCCGCGGACUGGAAUAAUCUCAACUUCAACAAUCUUGUGGUGAAUGAGAAGAAUCAGGUGGCUUGCGAGUAUACGCAGAAUGAGGUGACCCAGGGUGCCAGGUAUCCUACCAGUCAGGUCAUGAAGGAUGCAGUGACUCAAUGAGCGACAUUGGUUCGACAACAGUUUUAUGUUGUGAAGUCAAGCAAGAAAGAAUGUAAUGUCAAGUGCGUGAAGACGGGCUACCUGUGGCGGGUGCACAGCUUUAAGGGGAAAUGGGUCGACUAUUGGGAGGUGUUGAUUGUGGUCGACCACACGUGCAAGAUGGACAAACUUGAGCCCAACCACAGGAACAUCAUAUCAAUCUGUGUCGCUAAUGUGAUGUAUAUUCAGAUUGUGAACAACAUGAACUAUGAAACAGGAUCCAUAAUUAAGCAAAUUGAGGAGUAGUAUAAGUACACUAUCAGCUACAAUAAGGCAUGGAAGGCGAAGAGGAAGGCAAUUGAGAUGAGGUUCAGGACAUACGAAAUGUCAUAUGAUAAUUUGCUUCAUUUGCUGCAGACUAUUGCUCAAAAAAAACUCGGGGAUGUAUUACAACAUUGAUAAGUACUCAUUGUUAUCAAAACUUGACAAGUACGUCUUGAAGCAAUCUUUCUUUGCAUUAGGAGCAUGCAUAGAAGCUUUCAAGCAUUGCUGGCCUAUCCUGUGCAUCGAUGACAUUUUUCUUACCGGCAAGUACAUGGGGCAGAUACUGAUUGCUAUUGGGGUUGAUGGGAACAACCAAGUUCUGCCGUCAGCCUUUGCAUUUGUGAAGAGUGAGAACACCAGCAGUUGGUAUUGAUUCCUGUACCGUGUGAGGAUGAUAUUUGUUGGUGCUCUGUUGAAUGUGUCUUAUACAUUACCAGCAUACUGGGAUGCUCGCGACAAUUAAGGAUCUGCAAAGUGGAACAGAUGAUAGCUUGAUUGGACCUGUGUGGAUAGAUCUACAGAGUAGGUGGUGCAUGAAAUAUUUGAGUGCAAACUUCUUCCGCUAAUUCAAGAACAAGAAACUCAUGAAUAUAUUCAAGGGGUUGUGCAGUCAAAACCAGCAAUGGAAGUUUAACACUCUUUAGAAGACACGGGAUGAGCUACAAAGAAGCAAACACAUGAGCGUGUAGGGAGGCUCGUGAGCGGACUAGAUGACGAACCAGUACCUCUUGAGUCUCUGCCAAUGGACAAUAAAGCUAGUAUCACGUGGAGGAUCGGGUCAUCUACCAGGUCAUUUAGCGAGUGGAUUGAGAAUGAGCCAAAGCAGAAGAGGGCUCUUCUCUACAACACAAACGAGGCUAGGUACGACAUUAUGACUACAAAUUUAGCAGAGGUUUACAAUUGGGUGAUGAAAGGUGUGAGGGGGUUGCCAGUAGUGGGGAUUGUAGAGUUCAUACUUCAAGGGACCUGCAACUAUUUCAGGGACCGCUAUGCGGUUGUGCACACGACGCUUAAUGAUGUUCGUCUGAUUUAUGGGACGAAGAUGACUAAGUAUAUGGAAGAAAAGGGGAAGAAGGCAAAGGUGCACCGGGUGAAGAAUAUGGGAACUGUAUAACACAGAUACGAAAUUCUAUGCAAGGAUAAAAGAAGGAGAGGGGGCAAGCAUGAGAGAGUUAUUCACGAGUGCACCAUCUUCGAUGAUAGGUGCAUUUGCACCUGCUACAAGCGGAUGCUACUACAGAAGCAAUGCUCCCGUGUGAUUGCCGCGUGUGCUGUGACGGGUAUGAGGACUCGGAGGUACAUCUCCGAGUACUUUAAGAAGGAAGCUCUAUUCGACACCUGGAACCAUGAGGUCUACGGUUUCGAGAUUUAUAGUUCUUUCACGAAGGAACAUGGGCUCGAUUGUGUAUUCAUCCCUGAUUCUGACAAGAUAAAGCAGAAGAAGGGAUGACCCAUGACUACGAGGCUCCGUAAUGACAUAGAUGAAGCAGAAGCUGGGUGUCACAUGAAAUUGUGCAGCAAGUGCAACGGUACAGGACACACUUACAAGAAAUACACCGUUGGUGUCCCAUGUGUGAACCCCACGAAAGCAGGUUCUUCCAGAUCUGGUGCAGCUGAGAGACGUCCUCGGGUUCUUCAGUCUUUAGCUAGGUAUGACGCACCUGGAGCUGCUUGACCCUGAGCUCAAUGUUAGGCACUGUUCGUACCGCUGAAGGCUGAGGAGCUUCCGCUACUACGACCUUGUGUGCCGGAUGAGCUCAUGAGGAUCAACGAGCACUAAAUUUUGAGAUUUUUCCAUUUUGAAUUUAAUGUUUCGUACCAAUUUUUAUCAUUAUUCAUCUCUAACUGUAUUAUGUUUGUAGAUUGCGUGCUACUGGUUUACUUGCACUGUGUCGGCUGGUGGAGGUGGAUGUGUUGGCGGGAGCCUCGGAGGCAGUGAUGCGGUUCAGCUACAACAGGGCCCUCCAUGCGGCCCUGUUCCACCUCCCGUGCGGUGAGAUGGUGCUCAUGCUCAAGGACGUCUCGCUCCUGAUGGGUAUGCCUUGCACAGGUAUUGUUGUUGGGGCUAGGUGGAGAACAUUCACCCACAGGCUAGCGAUGAGGACGUCUCCCAUCACCUGGAGGCGUACCUCAUAUGGUUGGAGGGUGGGUCAUGUUCACUGAGACCCACAUCAACAUGGUCUCGAGGAGAAUAAUCUCCUAUGCCAGAGAGGUUGCGGACGCCGACCCAGGGGAGGUCCCGUAGUACAGUUGGGCUUCAGCUGUGUUGGCUAUGACGUACCGUGUCUUGUGCAAUGGCUGCACGAAGACCGACAUCAACGCGAUCCUCACCAGGUGCAGAUGGCGCAUAUUAGAUAGCUGCAGAUGACGUCGAUGACUUGACCAUGGGGUCCUUGUGGUGCAAACGUAGGUUGGUCCAGCAUGCAGACACACCAUGUGUACCCAGACUUUAUUCUCUAGUUCGAUGAGCUGACGGCGGAUUGUGUCCGCUGGAGGUUGUACACGGAGGCCGAGGUACAUCGAUGUGCUCCGCUAGGACUUUUGGUUCUAUGCUUAUGUGAUCGAGAGUACUGGCUCACGACUUGCGCCCUCGUCUUUGAUAUCUAUGUUGAGGAGUACUCACUGCAUUACGUGAUGCGGCUGUUUGGAAAGUUCCAGGUGUUCCCACUAUAGGUGACUAUCUCGGUGCCUAUCAACAUACACAGGUUGACGCGGAUGGGGGCUCAUUCCACGAGCGUAUUUGCAUCGUGUGUGCAGCGGUGAGUUGACGAAUGGGACCAAGCUGUCGAGCACGUCGUGGAUGAGGAUCGGUCACACUCUGAGGAGGUGUACGCGGAGUACCUCUCAUAGUUCAUGCCUCAAACGCAGAUUCAGGUCAUGUACACACCAGUAGAGCUUCCACGGCACGUGAUGGACAUGCAGGACACGUACCUAACGCACAGGGACCAGACGUGUUCUU